Meleagris gallopavo (turkey) is the source of this 3228-nucleotide non-coding RNA. Lineage: Eukaryota; Metazoa; Chordata; Aves; Galliformes; Phasianidae. The record is from RefSeq and is a predicted model, not a curated record.
GCAGGAGGCACUGAAAGGCUUGUAACCAGACUAAAAAAGAUGCAGAGGUAGAAUCAAGGUCGAUUUCACCCAGGCAGACCAUUCUAGGGUUUCCCACACAGUUCAAGUUAAACGAAAUGCUGAACAGACGGCCCUAGUCAUAACAACCGGGCACUUACUUUCAGGACUGACUAAUCCCUCCUGGAAUCUUUUCCGGCUGAAAGUCAGAAAAACAUCAUGCAACUUUAACGGACAGCCCUGAUGACAGACAGUUCACUGCAAUGCAGGACCCCAUCCUGGUGUAUCAGCUACCAGGAAUUCAACCUUAUGAGGCAUUGAGCACCUUUCUUUUUAGUGACCCACCGCUGUAUGAGAACAGACUUUAAGAAGUCACUGAAGCCUUAGUGGUGACCUCUUGAAUUAUUGAUGUUGCCACUUAAUGAGAUCCUUGACUGCACAUGCUGUCAGGAUGCAGGUUGAAAUAUUUUGGUCCCUAUUUCCCCCAGCUGCUGUUUGAACUCCUCUCUCAGUGAUCCUGAAAGAUCCUGAAGUGCUGAUUCAGGGACACACAUCUCAAUUUAUAGAUGCGUGUAAGUUACUGCCUUCUCUGCUUCUCUGCUUCUACCUACAUUCUCAGUUCUGGAAGCCAACUGGCCAGAAGUCUUUCCCAUGAUAUGUCUCCUAUAGGUUUUGAACUUAAGUGUUAGUAAGCUAUCCCCUUUGUCGAUUCCUUUUGUGCCCUGUUAAAAAGGAAUUUGCAUCGCUUUUAUAAGUGACUAGAACGGUGGCCAAGAAAAACCUGACUGUUAUGCAGUAGAAAUGACUUUGACUUCCUCAGUAGAGAAGACUGACAUUUAUCUCAGGGCAUUAAUUAACAUUUAAGUUGAAAACAAUUUUGAUCAUUUCAGAAGUGUCAGCUUGUGAUGUGAGCUCCUCAGUUCUUCAAGGCUUAUCCAACAUCAGUAACUGGAUAGGUCAGAGCAACAGUAAAAGAAGCAGAGAACACCACAUAAAGUACUGGUGGGGAUUCAGCUUCAGUCCACCUCAGUUGAGAGUCAGUGCUCGAGGGGAUGGGCUGGUGAUAUCUGUGAGAUCUUUAUAAUAAGUAGUAAAAUUGGAGUUCUGAGAUUCAUAGGCAAAGCUCCCUUGAGACUUGUAGUAAGAGUAGCAGUGUCAUUCAGGCAAAUCUGAUCAGGUAUAAUUUUAAAUAACUAGACUCUGGCUUCUUAUACUUUCAUUCACAAAAGAACUUGCUGCAUCAUACUGUUUACCUGAAAAGUCUAGUGCUCUUACACCUUUUUCACAGCAGUAUUUCAUGGAUGGGUUAAGAGGUCUCUGUAAAGUCUAUCCAGAGCCUUAGAAUCCAUUUGGGUUUGUUUGCUGUGAAACAGUAUUUGUCUUGCUGUCCAGAUGUCUGCGUGCUGCUUUGAAACUUCAACUCUCCAUCCCAUGGAGGAAGUGACCUCUGCAGGUAUUCAAUUCCUGUAACAAUUCAUUAAAGCAUUUGGGAACCCUGCAGAGGUAUGGCCUGUACAUUUAUGAACAUUCUUACUGUUACUAUUGUUUUCUAACAUCUACCACUACAGCACAGAUUGAUUAAGUGUGCAUGUAUUCAUUUCAGUGUGGUUGCUGCCUGAGUUGAAAGAAUCAUUUUGACACCUGUAAUCACAAAGGCUUGCGUUGGAUGAAUGUUUUAUUAUUUGAUUUUCUGCCAACCAACUCUCAGAUUUGUUUUAGCAGCAACACAUGGUCUUAAUGAUAUUCCCCAAGGUUAAGCAAGCAUGAAAACCAACAUAAUGUAGGGCAACAAGGAGAUACUGUAUAUAGAAGGAAGAGUUGUUUUUUGUAUAAGGCCAAACCAUUUGUCUCAAACACUGGAUUCUACCCUUUAUUCCACCAGAAUUGUGUUGUUCCACCACAAACCACUUCACCUUUCUGUGCUAGUCUUUCAUCAUCUGUGAAAUGACAACAGGACCCUUAAUGUAUGCUGAAAAUCUUUAAAUAGAUCCUGAAAAUACUUCCAGAUUUUCAAUUGGAAGGCACAAAAGAGUAAAAAAUCCUAAUAGCUGCGUAGAUUCUAUAUUGACGUGGCAAACUGUAAUCUCCCAACAGGAGACAUUUGGAUAUAUUUGACUUAAAUGUAUUCUAACAACUGACUAGCAGAAUUACUACUCCGGGAACAAGACAGUAGUUAUAUGAUUUGCUCCAGAUUUCUAAUACACAGAGAUGUUUUCCAGCUUUGCUGCACAAAUAUUAACUCCGUGUCUCCUUACUGUUGUUUUUUCUGUCUCAGUAAGUACACUAAUUUUUCUUCUGAAGACUAUUGGAAUUGUUGAGCUUAAUUUGCAGUGUACUAUUAAUGCCAAACCUGUGUGAUCAUUUCCAGACACGGAAACCAAAAGGACUGUGACUUCUCUAGGGAAGAGAGAAGGAAGCGAAAGGAUUCCAGUCUCUGGUGAGGUUAUAGGAAUGUCUCAUAAUCUCUAGGUGUGCUUUUCUAUCUCCUCUAAAAAAAGAUACCAAUCAUACUUACCUUCCUUCCCAUCUACAUUGUUUUGAGAUUAAUGAAUUAAAAGGGUUGUAAUUAAACUAAGUAUCUGAUUGUAGCAGAAAUGCUAAGUCAGGGCCUGAACAAGAGAUCGAGCACGUGGUGGGAAGAGAGGGCCAACCCAGGGGAGCUCAGGUGCAUGCAAUGCCAUGCAAUACCCCUGAGUGAUUGGAACGAUGGAACCGGGAUCCAGCCCUUCCCAGACCUCAUUUAAGGGUUGGCAGUGGAGGCAAGGGUAUCUUGCUAGAGGUCCUUGUUUACUUGAGGCUCUUCUAAGGGUAAGCAGAUUAUUAUUAUUUUUCCCUUUGUUUCUGUGUCUAUGACUGCUGCAUUUGGGUUUUUUCUCGCUUGCUGCAGCCUAGGACUUUCCUACCCUUCUACUGUGUGUGCUUUUCAUUGUAUUAUAGCAUUACACUGAUAACAUCAGUAAUGUUUUUCUUGGGAAUGUCUCAGAACAAUUGUAUACUUAUUUUAGAGGAAAGCCCUCUGCUUAUUUAAUUAGAGUAUUCAUACCAAGGGAGGACCCUUUCCUCCAGUUCACUAGUGAAGCCUGGUUACUCAGUCCCACUUCCUGUCUUAUUUCUGAGGUUUAUAGGUAGGUACAAUGUGAGAUGAUACCCUUAGCAGGAAUGGUUGCAUUAAAUGUAUGGAGAAAUACAUAUUUGAACCAUCUGGGGCCUUUUGUAUAGAAAAAAGCACUU